This 269-nucleotide ribosomal RNA is filed under the name uncultured prokaryote. RNAcentral's name for it is "partial 16S ribosomal RNA". It matches the Rfam family "Bacterial small subunit ribosomal RNA", at positions 524 to 792 of the family's 1533-position model. The record is from RNAcentral.
UACGUAGGUGGCGAGCGUUGUCCGGAUUUACUGGGCGUAAAGGGAGCGUAGGCGGACUUUUAAGUGAGAUGUGAAAUACCCGGGCUCAACUUGGGUGCUGCAUUUCAAACUGGAAGUCUAGAGUGCAGGAGAGGAGGAUGGAAUUCCUAGUGUAGCGGUGAAAUGCGUAGAGAUUAGGAAGAACACCAGUGGCGAAGGCGAUUCUCUGGACUGUAACUGACGCUGAGGCUCGAAAGCGUGGGGAGCAAACAGGAUUAGAUACCCCGGUA